This 1179-nucleotide ribosomal RNA is filed under the name uncultured fungus. Its description in RNAcentral is "eukaryotic LSU rRNA". The stretch from base 551 to 1179 matches the Rfam family "Eukaryotic large subunit ribosomal RNA", at positions 1 to 649 of the family's 3401-position model. Lineage: Eukaryota; Fungi. The record is from RNAcentral.
AAGUCGUAACAAGGUCUCCGUUGGUGAACCAGCGGAGGGAUCAUUACCGAAUUUACGUUCAAACCCACUGUGAACCAUACCUCUUGCCGCGUUGUCUCGGCGGGAGGCGUGAGGCCCUAGCGGCCCCGCGUCCCCGCCGGCAGCGCCAAACUCUAAACUGCAAAGCGUACUGCAUGCUCUGAUUUACAAAAAAAACAAGUUAAAACUUUCAACAACGGAUCUCUUGGUUCUGGCAUCGAUGAAGAACGCAGCGAAAUGCGAUAAGUAAUGUGAAUUGCAGAAUUCAGUGAACCAUCGAAUCUUUGAACGCACAUUGCGCCCGGCAGUAAUCUGCCGGGCAUGCCUGUCCGAGCGUCAUUUCUGCCCUCGAGCGCUGCUGGCUUGCCAGCAGCUGCCCGGUGUUGGGGCGCUACGGUUCAGGGCCUCGUGCCCUGUCCGUAGGCCCCGAAAUGAAGUGGCGGUCCCGCCGCGGCGCCCCCUGCGUAGUAGUAUUUCAACUCGCAUCGGGANCCGGUGGUGACCAGCCGUCAAACCCAACUUUCUAAUAGUUUGACCUCGGAUCAGGUAGGGUUACCCGCUGAACUUAAGCAUAUCAAUAAGCGGAGGAAAAGAAACCAACAGGGAUUGCCCCAGUAACGGCGAGUGAAGCGGCAAAAGCUCAAAUUUGAAAUCUGGUCCCCUUUGGGGGCCCGAGUUGUAAUUUGAAGAGGAUGAUUUNGGCGAGGCGCCUUCCGAGUGCCCUGGAACGGGACGCCACAGAGGGUGAGAGCCCCGUAUGGUCGGACGCCGAGCCUAUGUAAAUCUCCUUCUACGAGUCGAGUAGUUUGGGAAUGCUGCUCAAAAUGGGAGGUAAACCCCUUCUAAAGCUAAAUACCGGCCAGAGACCGAUAGCGCACAAGUAGAGUGAUCGAAAGAUGAAAAGCACUUUGAAAAGAGAGUUAAACAGCACGUGAAAUUGUUGAAAGGGAAGCGCUUGCGACCAGACUUGCGCCCGUCGGAUCAACCGUCCCCCGUGGGCGGCGCACUCCGGCGGGCUCAGGCCAGCAUCAGUUUUCCGGGGGGGAGAAAGGCGGUUGGAAUGUAGCUCUUCGGAGUGUUAUAGACUUCCGCGUAAUACCCCCUGGGGGACUGAGGACCGCACUUUAUGCAAGGAUGCUGGCGUAAUGGUCGUCAGCGACC